RNAcentral lists this ribosomal RNA (229 nucleotides) under uncultured prokaryote. RNAcentral describes it as "partial 16S ribosomal RNA". It matches the Rfam family "Bacterial small subunit ribosomal RNA", at positions 26 to 250 of the family's 1533-position model. The record is from RNAcentral.
AGAUUGAACGCUGGCGGUCGUGCCUAACACAUGCAAGUCGAGCGGUAGCAGGGUGUAGCAAUACAUGCUGACGAGCGGCGAACGGGUGAGUAAUGCUUCGGAAUCUACCCACGGGUGGGGAAUAACCAACCGAAGGUUGGCUAAUUACCGCAUAAGUCCUACGGGGGGAAAGCGGGGGGAUCGAAAGACCUCGCGCCGGUGGAUGAGCCGAAAGCCGGAUUAGCUAGUU